AACGUAGGAGGCGAGCGUUAUCCGGAAUCACUGGGCGUAAAGGGCGUCUAGGCGGCUAAGUAAGCGUGGUGUGAAAGCUCGAGGCUCAACCUGGAGAGUGCGCCGCGAACUGCGUAGCUAGGAGGGCGGGCGAAGGGGGUGGAAUUCCCGGUGGAGUGGUGAAAUGCGUAGAGAUCGGGAGGAACACCAGUGGCGAAAGCGGCCCCCUAGCCUGAACCUGACGCUGAAGCGCGAAAGCGUGGGGAGCAAACGGG
This 254-nucleotide ribosomal RNA is filed under the name uncultured prokaryote. RNAcentral's name for it is "partial 16S ribosomal RNA". It matches the Rfam family "Bacterial small subunit ribosomal RNA", at positions 524 to 776 of the family's 1533-position model. The record is from RNAcentral.